Molecule: small nucleolar RNA, 142 nt
Organism: Danio rerio (zebrafish)
Lineage: Eukaryota; Metazoa; Chordata; Actinopteri; Cypriniformes; Danionidae
Source: Ensembl
UGAUGAUCGUUCCUCCUGCCGCUCAGAGAUCAUGCGGCUCAGGAUUUUAGAUCAUCAUAGAGAAAUCUGAGUCUGUUUCACCCGGUGUGUGCCGACCGACGGUCUCCUGUGGCCACGCUGGACUUUGCGGGACUCUACAGCU